Molecule: ribosomal RNA, 253 nt
Filed under: uncultured bacterium
Lineage: Bacteria
Description: partial 16S ribosomal RNA
Rfam family: Bacterial small subunit ribosomal RNA
Source: RNAcentral
GACAGAGGGUGCAAACGUUGUUCGGAUUUACUGGGCGUAAAGCGCGUGUAGGCGGCUUUGCAAGUCGGAUGUGAAAGCCCACGGCUCAACCGUGGAGGUGCAUCCGAAACUGCAUGGCUCGAGUCUCGGAGAGGAAGGUGGAAUGCUUGGUGUAGAGGUGAAAUUCGUAGAUAUCAAGCAGAACACCUGCGGCGAAGGCGGCCUUCUGGACGAUGACUGACGCUGAGACGCGAAAGCGUGGGGAGCAAACAGG